Molecule: ribosomal RNA, 468 nt
Filed under: uncultured bacterium
Lineage: Bacteria
Description: partial 16S ribosomal RNA
Rfam family: Bacterial small subunit ribosomal RNA
Source: RNAcentral
GACGAACGCUGGCGGCGUGCUUAACACAUGCAAGUCGAACGGAAAGGCCCUGCUUUUGUGGGGUGCUCGAGUGGCGAACGGGUGAGUAACACGUGAGUAACCUGCCCUUUACUUUGGGAUAACUUCAGGAAACUGGGGCUAAUACCGGAUAGGAGCUCCUGCUGCAUGGUGGGGGUUGGAAAGUUUCGGCGGUUGGGGAUGGACUCGCGGCUUAUCAGCUUGUUGGGGGGGUAGUGGCUUACCAAGGAUUUGACGGGUGGCCGGCCUGGGAGGGUGACCGGCCACAUUGGGACUGAGAUACGGACCAGACUCCUACGGGAGGCAGCAGUGGAGAAUAUUGCACAAUGGGCGGAAGCGUGAUGCAGCAACGCCGCGUGCGGGAUGACGGCCUUCGGGUUGUAAACCGCUUUAGCCUGUGACGAAGCGUGAGUGACGGUAAUGGGUAAAGAAGCACCGGCUAACUACGUG